AUGGCGUACCGGGUGCUGGAGGUGACGCUGAUCUCGGCCAAGGACCUGAAGAAGGUGACGGUGUUCUCCAAGAUGCGCGUGUACGCGGUGGUGUCCAUCUCCGGCGGCGACCCGAGGACGCCGACGCACAGGACGCACUCGGACCGGCACGGCGGCCGGAACCCCAUGUGGCACGCGCCGCUGCGGUUCCCCAUCCCGGCCGCCGCCGACCCGCGGGGGCUGGCGCUGCACGUGCUCCUCCGCGCCGAGCGCUCCUUCGGCGACCGCGACGUCGGCGAGGUGGUGGUGCCGGUGCAGGACCUCGUCGCCGUCGCGCCACCCGCCGGCGAGCACCGGCACCUCAGCUACCAGGUGCGCAGCCCCAUGAGCGGGCGGAAGCGCGGCGUGCUCCACAUCUCCUACAGCCUCUCCGACGCGCCUGCGCCGACGGCGGCGGCGCCGGGCGACGCGCAGUACAUGCAGACGAACGCGGCGGCCAAGGCCGGCGCCGACGCGGUGACCGCGUACCCGCCGUACCACCACCAGCAGCACGCCGUGCCUCCGUACGGCUACAACCCCCCAUACGGGUACGCGGGGGCGUCGUACGGCUACGGCCCCGCUCCCUACGGGUACGGCGCGUCGUCCGCCGCGGCGGCCAGGCAAGACGGAGGCGUCGGGAUGGGCUCCGGGUUCGGGAUGGGGCUCCUCGGCGCGGCGGUCGGCGGGAUGAUGAUGGGCCUCGGCGAGGGCGUGGGCGAGAUCAUCGCCGACUCGGAGAUGAGCCUGGACGGCUGCUUCUGA
This 780-nucleotide ribosomal RNA is filed under the name Triticum aestivum (bread wheat). RNAcentral's name for it is "partial small subunit ribosomal RNA". Lineage: Eukaryota; Viridiplantae; Streptophyta; Magnoliopsida; Poales; Poaceae. The record is from RNAcentral.